CCCGGAAUAAGAGGAUGAGUAAGGAUAGUUGGAUGAACUAAUGUUAAAUUGUCGAACGUUAUUCAAUCCUUAAUUAUAUGAGAUUAAUGUUAUAUGAUGUUGUCGUUGACUAAUGGCUAAGUUGUAUGUGAUGCCCACAGGUGAUACACGGACUUCUUCUGCUACUUAGGAAGUGAAAGUAUGUAUGCAUGUAAGAUGGUACGUGUGCAUGAUUUAAAUACGUAGAGUUUUAACGUUACUAAUUAUGCGUUUGAGGUUGGUAUGUAAUGCAGGAACGAGUACAUCGGAUUCUUACGAAAUUUAAGCCCAACCCGGAAUAAGAGGAUGAGUGAUACACGGACUUCUUCUGCUACUUAGGAAGUGAAGUGGACGUAGAUCGAGUCAAGAGCAAGGAUUGCACGGAUAGAUCGAUCAUAUAGUUGAAAUGUAUAACGUCUAGAAAU
Molecule: long non-coding RNA, 443 nt
Filed under: Helianthus annuus (common sunflower)
Lineage: Eukaryota; Viridiplantae; Streptophyta; Magnoliopsida; Asterales; Asteraceae
Description: sRNA HanXRQr2_Chr10g0443781
Source: RNAcentral